GCGCAGCAGUCGAGAAUCUUCCCCAAUGGACGAAAGUCUGAGGGAGCGACGCCGCGUGAAUGAAGAAGCCCUUCGGGGUGUAAAAUUCUUUUCUUUAGGAAAAUUCGUGACGGUACUAAAGGAAUAAGGGGCCGGCCAAACUCGUCGCCAGCAGCGGGCGGUAAUACGAGUGCCCCGAGCGUUAUCCGGAAUUACUGGGCGUAAAGCGCUAAAAGGCGGUUUGAUAAGUCAGACGUCUAAUCUCCGGAGCUCAACUCGGAGCCGGUGUCUGAAACUGUCUAACUUGAGGACGGAAGAGGCAAGCGGGAAUGGCUGGUGUAGCAGUAAAAUGCGUUAAUAUCAGCUGGAACA
This 351-nucleotide ribosomal RNA is filed under the name uncultured microorganism. Its description in RNAcentral is "bacterial SSU rRNA". It matches the Rfam family "Bacterial small subunit ribosomal RNA", at positions 346 to 708 of the family's 1533-position model. The record is from RNAcentral.